This is a non-coding RNA of Hordeum vulgare subsp. vulgare (domesticated barley), 140 nucleotides long. The record is from Rfam. NCBI's taxonomy places the organism in Eukaryota, Viridiplantae, Streptophyta, Magnoliopsida, Poales, Poaceae.
AUAGUACUCCCUCCGUUCUAAAAUUCUUGUGUUAACUUUGUCUAGAAAUGAAUGUAUCUAAAUACUAAAACUUGAUUAGAUACAUUCAUAUCUAAACAAAUUUAAUUAAGACAAGAAUUUUAGGACAAAGGAAGUACUAA